AUUGAACGCUGGCGGCAGGCCUAACACAUGCAAGUCGAGCGGUAGAGAGAAGCUUGCUUCUCUUGAGAGCGGCGGACGGGUGAGUAAUGCCUAGGAAUCUGCCUGGUAGUGGGGGAUAACGUUCGGAAACGGACGCUAAUACCGCAUACGACCUACGGGAGAAAGCAGGGGACCUUCGGGCCUUGCGCUAUCAGAUGAGCCUAGGUCGGAUUAGCUAGUUGGUGAGGUAAUGGCUCACCAAGGCGACGAUCCGUAACUGGUCUGAGAGGAUGAUCAGUCACACUGGAACUGAGACACGGUCCAGACUCCUACGGGAGGCAGCAGUGGGAAUAUUGGACAAUGGGCGAAAGCCUGAUCCAG
Molecule: ribosomal RNA, 360 nt
Filed under: uncultured bacterium
Lineage: Bacteria
Description: bacterial SSU rRNA
Rfam family: Bacterial small subunit ribosomal RNA
Source: RNAcentral